This 25-nucleotide small RNA is filed under the name Bombyx mori (domestic silkworm). RNAcentral's name for it is "ovarian small RNA-16305". Lineage: Eukaryota; Metazoa; Arthropoda; Insecta; Lepidoptera; Bombycidae. The record is from RNAcentral.
GCACCGAAGAAAAGCAGCGGAUGGU